UCUGGCAGUGAUGACACCCUUGCCCUCACUGAGAACGCUGUUCAGUAAUGAAAAGCAUGCUAUGUACUCAGAUGUGCUGAGCUGGA
Molecule: small nucleolar RNA, 86 nt
Organism: Hemicordylus capensis (graceful crag lizard)
Lineage: Eukaryota; Metazoa; Chordata; Lepidosauria; Squamata; Cordylidae
Product: small nucleolar RNA SNORD103/SNORD85
Exons: 1
Source: RefSeq, a predicted model, not a curated record